AACAACUCACCUGCCGAAUGAAUUAGCCCUGAAAAUGGAUGGCGCUGAAGCGGGCAGCCGACACUACACCAUCUAGGCUAGAUAUGUCUUAGAUGAGUAGGAGGAACGUGGCGGUUGUACAGAAGCAUGUCCGCAAGGGCAUGUGGAACGGCCGCUAGUGCAGAUCUUGGUGGUAGUAGCAAAUAUUCAAAUGAGAUCCUUGAAGGACCAAGCGGGGAAGGGUUCCACGCGAACAUUGAUUGAGCGUGGGUUAGUCGGUCCUAAGCCAUCUGGCAAUCGCUAGAUACUGGCGAAAGGGAAGCAGGUAAAGAUUCCUGCACUUGGGCAACGAUGUUUACACAGGUCCUAGUAGUCCCAGAGAUGCUGCGGUAGAAGUCCCCUUGCAGAGAUUUCUUUUCUGUUUGACGCCAUUACGGUCCUGAAAUCCAUUCACUGGGAGUAGGGACCGAUUUACUUUGAUGGUAGAGCACAGGCCUAUCCUUCCUGUGUUUGGGUUGAUUCCUGCAGACCUUGAAAAUCUGGGCGCGCCUACCGUCUUCGGACGCGUAGGGUACCGUUAAACGAAUUCUAUCCCAACCCGUACCCAUAACCGCAUCAGGUCCCCAAGGUGAACAGCCUCUGUCCAAUAUGAAUAAU
Molecule: ribosomal RNA, 636 nt
Filed under: Chondria dangeardii
Lineage: Eukaryota; Rhodophyta; Florideophyceae; Ceramiales; Rhodomelaceae
Description: eukaryotic LSU rRNA
Rfam family: Eukaryotic large subunit ribosomal RNA
Source: RNAcentral